AUGCAUAGGAAUGAAAUGCAUUCACAAGAAUGAUCCUUAAUUUUAAAAAAUUACAAACUUGAAAGCUAUAUAUAGUCACAAUACAUCAUUCUUUUCUAUCUGAUUCUUAUAACAUUCAUUUAGUUGUUAGCCAUAAUAACAACUAUUACAAUGUUGUGUCAAACAUUAAACUAUUACAAUGUUAUAAUAAUUAAUACUUAUAAUAUAGUAAUGAGAAAUGUCCUUAUGGUUUCAUUCUUUAAUCAUCCACUUCUUCUCUAUUCCUUUGAACAGCUCCAAAAUAUUCAACCAAUAUAUCAGCCACAACAGGAACCAAGUCCUUACAAGGCACACCUUUCUUAUAAACUUCACCAAGAUGAGAAUCACUUCCAAUUCUCCCACCAAGGAAAAUAUCAGCACCUUCAACAACUUUACCAUUCUCAUCUCUAGUCAUGCAUCCCAUAAAACCAAUAUCAGCAACCUGAACCUGACCACAUGUGUUAGGACAACCAGUCCAAUGCAUUCUAACUGGUCUUGCUACUGCCACUUGUCUCUCAACUUCUUCUGUCACUUUCAAAGCUCUUGCUUUUGUCUCGAUUAUCGCUUGGCCGCAAAACUGGUUACCGGUGCACGCUACGAGUGUUUUCAUUAGGAUGGAUGGUUCUGGUGAGAAUUUUUGCUUCAAGAGUGGCUCUUUGAGUAAUGCAUCAAGUUUUGAGUUGGCUACAUUUGGAAUUAUUAUGUUUUGUUCCACGGUUAGUCGGAGUUCGCCUGAUCCGUAUUCGUCCGAGAUACGCGCUAGCUCGUCCAUUUCGUCGGCUUGGAUUCUACCAACUGGAAUGUGGAGGCCAACAUAGCUUAGACCUUGUUGUUUCUGUGGAUGAACACCUAAGAUGUCUCUUCUUUCCCAUUGUUUUUGAACUAGUUCCUCUUUGGAUGCUCUCUCUAGUUUCUUCAUUGGCAUUCUUUUUUCAACCUCUGACCUAAAUACUUCUAUCCCCUGCAAAAAAUUCUUCAAAUGAGCAAAACUUCUAUAAUCUCUAAAAUUGAAAAUUUUAUGUUUCUUUAGUGACACUAAUGUUCAGCGGUGUCAGUUCAGUGGUAAGAGUUUGAACCUAUAACCUCGAAGGACCGAAGACUAUUGUAAAAUAGUUUUUAGUGCGAUUUAAUCGACGACAAACCUACAAAUGAAUCAUCUCAUUUAUGUAUAUAUUUGCUACUAAAAGAAAAGUGGUAGUAACUUACAAGUUCAUCAAUCAACCACAUCAUUCUGGUUUUCUGUCUAUUCCCUCUUGUGCCAAGAUCUCUAUAGGUCUCAAGAACAGCUUUACAAAGUGGAAUAACAUCAUCUGCAGAGACCCAAGCGUCAAGCGGAACAGCUUCCGCGCAUCGCUUGGGGCUAAAGAAACCCCCCACCAACAAAUUGAAUCCAAAUCUACCUUCCUCAUUCUUAGCAGGCAUGUAAGCAAGAUCAUUAAUAUGCGGAUGCUCGAAAAGAUCAUGCGAACCUAUCACACAUACAUUCCACUUCCUCGGCCUACACAUAUAUCAUCAAAAUUAAACGAGACUUAUUUGAGUUUAUCUACUGACAUAAACACUCGUCAUAAAAGUGUAGACUUACAAGUUUGUUAUGGUUGUGUUGCCAAGUGAGUUUGCAGUGAUGAAUUGUGAUAACAAAUUUGUGUAAGGUCUUGUAUCAACAAUCUCAUAAGGGUCAAUACCAGCAAGAGGGUUACCAACAGGGUUUCUCACAUUGUCCAUUCCACUUUGUAAGCUUGUCAAUCCAACCUCAGCAAGACCCUUCAGAAUUUCAGGUACAUCAGGUAACACUACACCUCGUAUUUGCCAAUUCUGUCUUGUUGUAACAUCAGCACACCCAUCUUUGCCGUAUUUUCUAAUCACACUCGCUAAGUAUCGUGUUUGAGCACUCGUCGUUACUCCAUUCGGAAGCUUCAGUCUCAUCAUAAAUCUACCAUCUAGUAUAAAGUGUAGAAAGAAAGUAAAAAACUAAGUUUGAAUUUGAGUUAACUUGUAAAGAAAGUAAACAAAAAAAACAAAAAGCUUACAAUGAUGUUUUCUUCUGUGAAAAAGGCCAAGCCAUUUGAGUCUAACAUCGAUAUCAUCUUUGGUGAGUUUAGAGCUUUCGAUAUCUUCAAGAGACAUAUUAGCCAAAUCAUCGAUUCCACCUUCCAUGAAAAGCUUCAUGGGCUCUUUCUGAAUCUUGAUUUUUUCCUGAGGAUUGAUGCCUCCUCUGUAUUCUUCCUUCAAGACCCAGUAGCCAUCUUUUUCCUCGACUCUAGGGUCCAACCUUGAUGCAUCGAGUUGUGUUGAAAGAGGUGCAAGUGAUGGAGUUGCAGCUGAUAGCUUCCAUGUGUGUUUGGGACGAGAGAUGGAGGGAGGGGUGAGAAAACGAACAGAGAAGGAAGACAUUUGAACUUGGAAGGAUGGAAAAGAGAGUGUGUUGGGAAAGAGAGAAAUUUGGACAUUUUUGUAGGAUGAGAUUAUGAGGAAGAGAAUGAAAUGAGGACCUUACGAGUAAGCAAGAGGUUGUUUGUGAACUACAUGAUGGUCCUUUGGUUGAUGCUAAGGGUCGCCUUAGUAUGUAGUGAUUGAGGAUGAUUGUCCUUACUUGUCCUAAAUUAUUUGUAAAGUCACAUGUUGUGCCAAAGUCAAAAUAAAAAGGUUCACUACAUUAAUGAAUAUAAAAUGAUGUGGCAACUCAUUAAUCAUUUGUAUAAAUUGUUUAAUCAUGAUGUUACAUUUCGAUAAUUUGUUUUUACUAAUAGUAUGUGGCUAGAGUUUCAGCUACUAAAGAUGAAUAAGAUGAAUAAUAUUAACUGAUAUGGUUAACCGGAAUUAAAUGUCUGUUAAUUUUUAAAUAUAUAUUUGAAUACAAAGUUUAUAGUUAAUAAUAUUAUUUAUAUUUCAAAUAAAAUACGUUUUUUUGAAAUAAUUAGGAAAAUUGAUAUGACAUUGUCUAGUCAUUUGUUCAUUUACAUGUAUUGGUGAUGGUUUUUAGAGAGUUCCAUCAUCAAUUAUUCUUUGAUAGUUGUAAGUUGGUGUACCUUAAACUACCAAUAACCUAGUUUAGACUGACUCGAAUUUAUCAUAUGUUGUGAAAGUCAUUGGAUUUUUUUAUCAUGACUUCAACUUUGUCUUUUGAAAAUCGAAAUGUAUUGUGAUAAUUCUCUUCUACCUUAAAGAAAUUAAAUCAGAGGAGGGAAAGGCAGGGUAGUUGGGGUGAGUUGAGGCAAGCAUAUGGCUAGCACCUAUCGCCGUCCAAAGUUGGGGUUACAGACGUCCAUAGAUCAUAAUGUGUGUUCAUUGGUUAUAUCUUCCACUCUUUUGUCGAAUCAUUCGACCUCUAUUGGACUAGGGUAAAAAUCAUUUGUUGCCCACUCACGAAAUAUGAGAUUGGCGUAUCCUUGGGCACUACAUUGAGGCUCAGUCAAAGGAGGGAAACCAUGUCCUCCCGAAGAAAAUGGGGGGAAAUAACAUUUUCACGCUCUUAAGAGGGGUGGAAUAAUCACCUAAUGUGUCCAAGGAUUCAGGUCCCAUAGACCUCUAUAAAAUCCUCAAUCGUAGAGUUGAGAAGGACAUUCAAUUCAGUCUAAAAUAACAUAGAUAUAAAGCUUCUGACAAUCCAUGUGUGACCUUCCUCUAUAUCAACAACAACAACCCUAAAACCCUCAGAAAAUCCUACACAAUUAGGGGUUAUCACUCAUUGUAAAUUUACCAAGUAAAUCCACCAAUAUCCCAUUAUAUGGUUCAAUGAUUGUAGUAUAUAAUCUAAUGUGCUUAUUGACCUCAUUGAAUAUGAUAUCGGUUGAACUAAUUUGGUAGAUCAAACUCAUUUACACGUUACAACUCACCAUAUCUUUUGAGGUGACCCAUUAGGUAAGUCUAAUUUUUAUGUUAGGGCGUCAAUCGGAUUUGAAGCUCAAUGAUGUAUUUUCAUGUGUUAUUGGAAGAUCUUUUUCCCUAAGUUCUCUUAAGAUAAGGUUUAAAUAUUUGAUUAAGGUGUUGAUCUUCUACUAUUGUAGAUAAGGUCAAAUAUGUAUUAAUUAUAUAACAAUUGUAGAAAUUUAAUGUUUUUAAUUUUGAAAAAAGCCAAUAAAAAUAUUAUUACUAAAUUAAGACUAUCUCAGAAGAAGGAUUACAAAAGAUAGUGCCAACAAAAGUGAACUUACAACAUACAAUAUUCAGAGACGGGAACAAACAAAUACAAGACAUCAAAAGUUGAUGUGCCUUAAGCAACUUAAAGGGUUGAACCUCCAAAUAUUUAAGACAUGCUUAAAGUUGUUUUUUUUUACCUGAGCCACCACUAAGUCGUGAUUUUGAUUUAACAAAAAUCUCCACAACUAAUGAUUUUUUCUCACCAAAUAAUCUCUUAUUUCAUUACUUUCGUAAAACACAAGCAAUCGUCAAUCAAAUGACAUGAAAGUCUUUGAGAAUCUCCUUUAUAUAAGAGAUAAGGAUGGAAAAAAAUAUGUUUGAACCCUUGGGUCAUUAGGAUAUGCACAACAAAUGUCCAGUCACUUCAAAAUGUUGUAUCAUAUCCCCAAACAAAGAGCACUCGAAAAAUAUGUGACUUAAAUGUUCAUUCUUUCUACAACCUCUUAAGCAUCUUAAAGAUUCAUUAUUAAAGAUCCAACAUUGAUUCAAGUUGUAUUUAAUUGUAAGUCUAUUACAUAAGAGUUUCCAUGAGAGCAAGGAAACUUUCAUUAGAACUAACUCGUUCCAAACACUAUCAAUAAGGACUAUAUAAUCAGCCUCUAAAUCCUAGGUAAGUACUCGUCAAUCAAAUGACAUGAAAGCCUUUACGAAUCUCCUUUGUAUCAGAGAUAAGGCUGCAAAACAGAGAUGUGUGAACCCUUGGGUCAUUAGGAUAUGCAAAACAAAUGUACAACCGCUUCAAAACAUUGUAUCAUAUCCCCCCAAAGAAAUAGCACUAAAAAAAUUAGGUGACUUAAAUUUUCAUUCUUUCCGCAACCUCCUAAGAAUCUUAAGGAAUCAUUGCUAAUGAUCUCACAUCGAUUCAAAUUUUCUUUAAUCAAAAGCCUAUUACAUAAGAGUUUCCAUGCAAACAAGGAAACUUUCAACGGGACUAACUCUAUCUAAACACUGUCAAUAAGGACUCGAGAAUCAACCUCUAAAUCUUGGGUAAGCAUUCAAUAAAUAUUUUUGACAUGAUUCUCACCAUCAAUAAUAAGAAACCAAAUUCAUAUGUCUACUUUGAUAUCUUACAAAAAAAUGUCUCAAAGACAAUACAAAAAUCUAAAAGUAAUUCUUCCUUCCAUGCAAAUAGACUGUGUAUCCGCCUCCAACAAUCACCAUUCACCUCCCACCCCCAUCUGCACAUAUCAGUCACCGACGCCUUUUUAACUUGAGAAAGUUCAUACAACUUAAUGAAUUUAUCUCUCAACAAUGUUCCAUACAUCCCAAAAUCUUUCCAAAAGUAAGUGAUUUUGUCAUCCCCACCUCCCUAAAAAGAUACUCUUAAAACCACUUAUCCUUAGACACACCUACUCCUUCUCUAAUAAAAUUCAAAUUUUUCCAUCACCUUGACGUCUUUCUCCCACCAUCUUACACCUUAUUUUACACUACCAUAUUUAUGUAUCAUAACUCUAAACCACAAACCCUAUUAAUCUAAUAUAAGUCUCCGACAUCAUUUUCCUAUAAGAGAAAUUUGAACUCAUGUAUCCUCCUCAUCCCUAAGCCUCCCUCGUCUCGAUCAAGAAAAUAUUCAAUUUUAGAAAUAAUAACUACUAUAGCCUUGAAGAAAGAAAGAAAUUAAAUUGGGAAAGAAUGUGAGACAGAUUUUAGUAAGACAAAUCUACCACCCAUAGAUAAUUGACGACCUUCAGAGCCUUUUUCUUAUUCUAUCAAUCAUGAGCAUCCAAAAAGAUAAUUUGCGAGAAUUUCCUCCAAUUGGGAGGCCAAGAUAAGUAAAUGGUGAAUCCAUAAUCUUACAAUUAAGAAUAUGUGUCACUUUAACUAGUCAAAACUGAGAAACAUUAACAUCUACCAAAUGGUUUUUAUGAAAAUUUACUUUGAGUCCUAGAAACAACUCAAACAAUCUUAAGUUGGCUUUGGUUGCUCUUAUGUUACACAAUUGUUCUCAUCCAAGAUUAAGGUAUCAUCUGCAAAUUAUAAAUGUGAUAAUUUGAUUAGAUUGACUGCCUCAACUUGAUACUCAGAGUACAACCCGAUAUUGACGAAAGCUUUUAACAUCAAAUUAAGAUCUUUGCUAGCUAUAAAAAAACAAAAAAAAAAAAGGAGAAAGAGGGCCACAUUUCCUCAAUUAUCUUCCCAAUCUGAGUUCUUCUAUUGGACAACUUUUGACAAGAGCUGAUGAUGAAGGUGGACUCAAGCACUCCUUAAUCCAACAUCUCCACUUAUUAGAGAAGUUCAUCUUAACCAUAUUUUUUUCUAGAUAACCCCACUCAAUAGGGUCAUAAGCAUUUUUGAAGUCUCCCUUAAAUAUAAUAAGUUAUUUUUUUAGUCUUUUUAACAUCGUCAACCACUUCAUUAGUAAUAAGAAUAUCGUCUAGAAUUUGUCAACCCUUCACGAAAGCGGAUUGCGUAACUAAGAUAAGAUUACUAAUUACCAGUUUCAUUCAGUUUACCAAAAUCUUUGAAAAAAAAAGAUGAUAAUCUAAAAGACUCUAAGAAUUGGAUUUUUUUUAAAAGUCAAAGUUAUAAAACUACUAUUUGAUCUUUUCACAAGUUUAUCAUUUCUAUGAAACUCGUGCAAUAAUCUCAUAAAAGCACUUUUUAAUAUCUUUUCAAAACUCUCAAAAACUCGAAAUUGAGACCACCAAACCCUACGAUUUAAAACUAGCACAAUUUAACAUUGUAUUUCUCAUUUCAUAUUCAUCAAACAAACUCACUAAAGAAGUAGAAACUUGAUGUUAAAUUUGUGUGUAAAGGUAUUAUUCAUUAACAUGUCAUCCAAACUAAUUCAAAAUUAAUUUAAAAGUUAAAUUUAUUCUUAAAAAAUGAGGUGUAAAAAAUUACAGGUCAUUUAAAGAUUAGAAAACGAAUAUGUAUCCACUGUGGGUACUCACUUAUUAAUACUUUUUUAUUAUUACAUACAAAUGAGAGUUAGUAUUGAAAAACGCAUGACGUGUAAUUUCAAAGAACAACGGAAGUAUACGUUACCACGAAAGAAGAAUAAAAAAAUAACAAGGCAACAUGAAAUUGAACACGAACGUCAUGUUUACAACUGGGCCAUGUUUAUUUGGUACUCAUAAUGAGAUGUACUAUAACGCAAUCUCUGUCAACUAAGAAUAUCGUCUACUAUAUUUUGUACACAGAUUCAAAUACAAAAAUAUUGUUAUACUAUUAAAUUAACUUUUUUAAUACUGUACUAUAUUGGAAAUAUUAGAAGUAGUAGUGUAUUAAAGUUGUUCAGUGUUGGCCUCUCUUGGAUAUUGAGUUACUAGUCGCCGCAUAAAUGAGAGGGGAGACAAACCAGGUAUAGCCAUAGUAUGGCAUGCUCCCAAGUGGAUUGGUGAAGGAUAAAUAAUUACAUAACCUUAUGGGGUUUCCAAGAGUCAAAUUAGCCUUUACUAACACAGCUGAAUUAAAUAGUGGAUAUCUAAUUUUGACAUAAAAUGGAUUUUGGACAUUAUUCUCAGGUAAUUGAUAUUUGAAGACUAUAGGUGAGUCACUAGUAUUGUUGUUUGGCUACUAUAGAUCCGUUAUUUACAAGGCUAAUGCUAACAUGUGUUCUUGGGGCACAAGUUAAUGAUACAUUUAUAGAAAUAUUUUCUUGGAAUUCGUGUAUUUGUUAAAAUUUUGUUUUAUUCGAUACAAAUUUUUUUAAUAGUAGUAACCUUAACUUGUGCCCCAAGGACAUAAGUUAGCAAAACCCUAUUUACUAAAGGGACAACUUCGUUACCCUUAAACAAAUAAUUUGUCUCAUUUAUAUUGGCUUAGAAAUAUACAAUUUGACAUGUCGUUAAGAAACUAGCAUUUUUUAAAUAUGACAAGAUCUUUUUUUGGAAAUAAUAGAUCCACCCACGUAUCAUUAAGAAAAUACCAGUUCUCAAUGCUAGCUAGUUUCUAAGGCUUGCAGCUUUAUCAGAAGGAUUUUAUGAUUGAAAAGUUUUCAUUGAAAAACUUUAAUCUUUAUAAAGGAGGUUUGUGGAAAUAUUAUGUUAAAAAAUUUCAAGAUAGGGAAAACUUUAAAAGAUGAAGAAAUUUUUACUCAAAUAUUCUAUUCUUUUAAAAGAAUUCUUAAAAUAAUCUAAUUUUCAAAAAAAAUCUCAAAUUAUCUCAGUAUUAAAAAAAACUCUAAGACAUAGGUGUCAGAUCAAUUGACGUCUACCCUUAAAUUUCAAGUGGAGACUCCAAUUGGAUUGACUAUAGCACAUGGUGUUGUCAAUCCAAUUGGCGCUCAUGUGUUAUUUGGAAGAGGAGACGCCAAUUGGUCUGGCGUCUCAGUGUAAUGUGAAUUUUUUUUGUUAUAAAUAGAUGUGUUGUGUGAUUCAUUUUUUCACAUCUCAUUUCGUCAUAUUGCAAACAUGUUUGGUGUCAUUGUCGCUAUGGAAAAGUGAUUUAUUCGAGAGAUAAGCCUCUGAUGUUGAUGCUCUUCUGGAACAUCUGUAGUUUCGAUUAACUGAAGAGGAAAUUGGUUCGUUGGUUAGAUGAAAAAAUAUCAUAAGGGAAAAAAAUUAGAAGUAUUGAGAGACUCGAUAGUUUAUUUGGUUGGGUGCGAGUUAAAACUGAUAAGGAUGCUAGAGAAAUGAUGUUUGGACGAGAUGACAUCAGUUUGAUUGUUGUAAUCAGUUAAAAAUGUUAUGUUUUAAGUUUGCUUAUGUUGUAGUGAUGUUUAUUGUUAACCUUAUUGUAACAAAAAGAUAAUGAUAUAUAAAAAUCCAAGGUUACAAAAAGAUUAUGAUGCAGAUGUUGCUCCUAGAUUGGGACAUUUGUUCUUAUUGUGUCCUGGUUGACGACAUAUACUACAUAAUCUUAUCAUUUUACCAGUCGUAUCCAUUUCUGUUCUAAUACGCGUGUUGUUUGGUCAUCCUUUUUUCUUUCUUCGCAUCUCAUCCCUGUGUCAAACUAUGUCACCUUCAUAUGGAGGUCAGUAUUCCUCCAUUGGUAGCACUGAGAAGCUUUUGUUAUACACAUUCAUGACGGUAAUGGCCUUGUAAACAUCAAAUAGAUGGUUGUAAGCAUCCUGAUGAGUAUGUGCGCAUGCCGCAAUGACAUGGGAACAAGUAAUACGGAAGACCUGGAACUUUCCGCAAUCACACCAACUUCUGUUUAGUUUGACAGCAAUAGGAUAAAUUUGGCCUCCCCUCAUUAUGGUCCAUUGUUUCCUGUACACUGAAAAUUUGCCUAUGACGGUCAAAGAUUGUAACCGCGUGUGCGCUACUUUGAUACUUUCAUUUUUCAUCACUUUCAUACAACAUUCACUGAAUAUUUGACUCGACAUUAUCAUUGCACUCCAUCUUUCACCUCUGGUUGCGAAGGUAGAAGCCAACCUAAAAUAGGUUGUUCUGACCAAAAUGGUUAUUGGUAGAUUUAUAAUGUCUUUGAAUACGUCGUUCAUGCAUUCCACAAGGUUUGUUGUCAUGUGGCCCCAUCGACAACCUCUGUCAAAUGCCCUUGUCCACUACUCUACUAGUAUGUUAUCCACCCAUCUUCCUGCAUCUGCAUUAGACAAUCUAAUUUCAUCACGAUAAUGUUGAAAUGACGACUGAGUUAGAGCAUACCCUGCAUUCACCACUUUUUUGCGAAGGUUCUUAUCUUUGAUUGCACGCAUGAUGUUUUGUGCGAUAUGUCUAAUACAACAGACAUGGGUAGAAGGAGGUUCAUACCAUCCGUUAUCAUGGUUUUUGUAAACACUUUCAAUGGAAGCAUGUCUAUCUGAAAUCAAACAGAGAUUGACUUGUGGAGCGGCAUGUGUUCUGAGAUGUCGAAGGAAGAAACCCCAACCACCAGCGGUUUCACCUUCAACCAGAGCAAAGGCAAUGGGAAAGACAUUAUUAUUGUCGUCUUAUGCGACAACCAUAAGCAAAGUAUCCUUGUAUUUGUCGUAUAACCAUGUUCCAUCAAUUUGAAUAAUAGGUUUGCAGAAU
This 10073-nucleotide long non-coding RNA is filed under the name Lathyrus oleraceus (garden pea). RNAcentral's name for it is "Pisum sativum (pea) long non-coding RNA (PSAT_LNC029213)". Lineage: Eukaryota; Viridiplantae; Streptophyta; Magnoliopsida; Fabales; Fabaceae. The record is from RNAcentral.